This is an RNA transcript of Camelina sativa (false flax), 929 nucleotides long. RefSeq lists it as uncharacterized. Lineage: Eukaryota; Viridiplantae; Streptophyta; Magnoliopsida; Brassicales; Brassicaceae. The record is from RefSeq and is a predicted model, not a curated record.
CGCUCGCUCUGAUGGGAUCUCCGAUUUCUAGAGCCUGAUCGAUCCAAAUCGGAGACGGUUCUGUUGUUCUUCGCCGUGAGUCUUGUUUCUUCGUAGACGGUGGUGCUUCGCCGAUUCGCGCCGCGAGAUUCUUGUUUCUUUGACGGCGGUGGUGCUUCGCCGCGAGUCUUGCUUCUUCUAAGACGAUUCUGUGUCGUGUAGAGACUCCAGUGUUUCUUCUUCGCCGAGUCUUACUUUUCCAAAGAAGUUUCAUUUUGAAGAUUGAAAUAGCAGCAAUGGACACUGAGAUUCAACAGUUUGUGAGGGUUAAUUGUCGGCUAUCGGUUCCACGACUGAACCAUCUGAUCAAUCUUAUCAAUGAAUGGUCGAGGGCAAGUCUUCAUUACGAUAAUGAAGUGAUUGAGAAUCGUGUAUAUUACUGGGUUCCGGGUUCUGUUGGAGUUGAAGUGGCUGGUGGUGGCGGUGGUGGUGCUGGUGGCUUUGGCGGAAAUAAUCAACAAGCCUUGUCCAAGGCCUAGAUGGGAAUGAUCAUCAAGCUGUCCAAGGUGAAGCUGUUGAAGUUUCGGGUAGUAAAGAAGGUGGAGCUGUUGAAGUUUCAGGUAGUAAAGAAGUUGAAGCUGCUGUAGCUGUUGAUGAAGAUCAUGAAGCUGGACAUGACCAUCAGAGCAAGAGAAAGCGAAUGAGGGAACAUCAGAAGGAGAAGAAGAAGAAAGUCUGCACAUGAUAAGAGGAAGUAGUAUUGUAGUUGGGAGUGUAGAAGAAUGAAGAAUCCAUUGAAUUCAUUUUACCGUAUGUAAAAAAAGUCGAGAGGCAGACAAAUAUGUUCUUGUUUUUUUCAUAAUUCCAUAUUCAAAGUAAAGAACAUAUAGUAGAUCUUGAUCUAGCUUCAAGGGUCUGUACAUUUUACAUUUCAAUCAAAAAUAAUGGCA